Molecule: ribosomal RNA, 497 nt
Filed under: uncultured bacterium
Lineage: Bacteria
Description: partial 16S ribosomal RNA
Rfam family: Bacterial small subunit ribosomal RNA
Source: RNAcentral
GAUGAACGCUGGCGGCGUGCCUAAUACAUGCAAGUAGAACGCUGAAGCUUGGUGCUUGCACCUAUCGGAUGAGUUGCGAACGGGUGAGUAACGCGUAGGUAACCUGCCUCUUAGCGGGGGAUAACUAUUGGAAACGAUAGCUAAUACCGCAUAAAAUUCGACAUCGCAUGAUGUUGACGUGAAAGGUGCAAUUGCAUCACUAAGAGAUGGACCUGCGUUGUAUUAGCUAGUUGGUGAGGUAACGGCUCACCAAGGCGACGAUACAUAGCCGACCUGAGAGGGUGGUCCGCCAAACUGGGACUGAGACACGGCCCAGACUCCUACGGGAGGCAGCAGUAGGGAAUCUUCGGGAAUGGGGGGAACCCUGAACGAGAAACGCCGCGGGAGUGAAGAAUGUUUUCGGAUCGUAAAGCUCUGUUGUAAGAGAAGAACGAGUGUGAGAGUGGAAAGUUCACACUGUGACGGUAACUUACCAGAAAGCGACGGCUAACUACGUG